GUAGGUGGCAAGCGUUGUCCGGAAUUAUUGGGCGUAAAGCGCGCGCAGGUGGUUCUUUAAGUCUGAUGUGAAAGCCCCCGGCUCAACCGGGGAGGGUCAUUGGAAACUGGGGAACUUGAGUGCAGGAGAGGAAAGUGGAAUUCCACGUGUAGCGGUGAAAUGCGUAGAUAUGUGGAGGAACACCAGUGGCGAAGGCGACUUUCUGGCCUGUAACUGACACUGAGGCGCGAGAGCGUGGGGAGCAAACAGGGAUUAGAUACCCUGGUAGUCCACGCCGUAAACGAUGAGUGCUAAGUGUUGGGGGGGUUUCCGCCCCCUCAGUGCCGCAGCUAACGCAUUAAGCACUCCGCCUGGGGAGUACGGUCGCAAGACUG
Molecule: ribosomal RNA, 374 nt
Filed under: uncultured organism
Description: partial 16S ribosomal RNA
Rfam family: Bacterial small subunit ribosomal RNA
Source: RNAcentral